This 169-nucleotide ribosomal RNA is filed under the name Caldicochlea globosa. Its description in RNAcentral is "partial 16S ribosomal RNA". The stretch from base 1 to 149 matches the Rfam family "Archaeal large subunit ribosomal RNA", at positions 1993 to 2143 of the family's 2987-position model. Lineage: Eukaryota; Metazoa; Mollusca; Gastropoda; Littorinimorpha; Tateidae. The record is from RNAcentral.
AUAGAUAUUUAACGGCCGCGGUACUCUGACCGUGCAAAGGUAGCAUAAUCAUUUGCCUUAUAAUUGAAGGCUAGUAUGAAUGGUUUGAUGAAAACAAAGCUGUCUCCUUUUAAUUUUAUAAAACUUGAUUUUUGGGUGAAGAAGCCCAAAUAAAAUUGAUAGACGAGAA